Molecule: long non-coding RNA, 363 nt
Filed under: Medicago truncatula (barrel medic)
Lineage: Eukaryota; Viridiplantae; Streptophyta; Magnoliopsida; Fabales; Fabaceae
Description: long non-coding RNA (MTRU_LNC006892)
Source: RNAcentral
GACCGGUGUCAGCCUUUCGAUCAAAAAAUUCGGCAGGGAGGUAUUUUAAAAUACCUCAUAGUUGAUUCCGAGUCGGGCCCUCUUCUCUCAAUUUUCAUUUAAUUUUAAUUUCCAUCUUUUAUUAACUUUAAAUUCAUUUCAUUUUUAACCUUUAUUUUAUGUUAUUUUUGUUUCAUUUAUUCUUAGUCCUUUUAUUUUAUUUUUAAUGUCCAAAAAUAAAUCAGAAUUUUGUCCGAUAAUAUCCAAAUAAACAGCUCACAAACAGCUCAUUCACAACUGUCAAUUUCUUCUCCAAGCAACAAAAUAUCGUGUUCCUCUCCAAGCAACAGAAAUUCAGCUCUAUAAAUAUAACCACCUGCACAN